Molecule: ribosomal RNA, 440 nt
Filed under: uncultured bacterium
Lineage: Bacteria
Description: partial 16S ribosomal RNA
Rfam family: Bacterial small subunit ribosomal RNA
Source: RNAcentral
CCUACGGGUGGCAGCAGUGGGGAAUAUUGCACAAUGGGGGAAACCCUGAUGCAGCGACGCCGCGUGAGUGAAGAAGUAUUUCGGUACGUAAAGCUCUAUCAGCAGGGAAGAAAAUGACGGUACCUGACUAAGAAGCCCCGACUAACUACGUGCCAGCAGCCGCGGUAAUACGUAGGGGGCAAGCGUUAUCCGGAUUUAAUGGGUGUAAAGGGAGCGUAAACGGCAGCGCAAGUCUGGAGUGAAAUCCCAUGGCUUAACCAUGGAACUGCUUUGGAAACUGUGCAGCUAGAGUGCAGGAGAGGUAAGCGGAAUUCCUAGUGUAGCGGUGAAAUGCGUAGAUAUUAGGAGGAACACCAGUGGCGAAGGCGGCUUACUGGACUGUAACUGACGUUGAGGCUCGAAAGCGUGGGGAGCAAACAGGAUUAGAUACCCCCGUAGUC